RNAcentral lists this ribosomal RNA (238 nucleotides) under uncultured bacterium. RNAcentral describes it as "partial 16S ribosomal RNA". It matches the Rfam family "Bacterial small subunit ribosomal RNA", at positions 539 to 776 of the family's 1533-position model. The record is from RNAcentral.
CGUUGUCCGGAAUCAUUGGGCGUAAAGAGCGUGUAGGCGGCUCGGUAAGUCCGCUCUGAAAGCCCGGGGCUCAACCCCGGGAGGCGGGCGGAUACUGUCGGGCUAGAGUGCGGAAGAGGCGAGUGGAAUUCCUGGUGUAGCGGUGAAAUGCGCAGAUAUCAGGAGGAACACCAAUUGCGAAGGCAGCUCGCUGGGACGUAACUGACGCUGAGACGCGAAAGCGUGGGGAGCAAACAGG